GCUGGGCGUGGUGGCGCGCGCCUGUAAUCCCAGCUACUCAGGAGGCUGGGGCAGGAGAAUCACUUGAACCCGGGAGGCAGAGGUUUCAGUGAGCUGAGAUUGCGCCACUGCACUCCAUCCUGGGUGACGAAGUGAGAUUCCGUCUCAA
Unclassified non-coding RNA from Pongo abelii (Sumatran orangutan), 148 nucleotides. It matches the Rfam family "Metazoan signal recognition particle RNA". Rfam says of the family: The signal recognition particle (SRP) is a universally conserved ribonucleoprotein. It is involved in the co-translational targeting of proteins to membranes. NCBI's taxonomy places the organism in Eukaryota, Metazoa, Chordata, Mammalia, Primates, Hominidae. The record is from Ensembl.